Molecule: long non-coding RNA, 858 nt
Organism: Pangasianodon hypophthalmus (striped catfish)
Lineage: Eukaryota; Metazoa; Chordata; Actinopteri; Siluriformes; Pangasiidae
Exons: 4
Source: RefSeq, a predicted model, not a curated record
AAACUGUAACAGCAACAAGUCUUUUCUUAAUACUGAGCAUCAUUGAACACAUGGAUUUCUAGUGAAAUUCAUACAACAGAUGUGACUUAAAGUCCACAUGAAUUAGCUUGAGAGCAGUGAUUUGGUGAAGUUAGAGUGAUGGCAUGUUGAAGUGCUUGACACAACAGCCUCUAGUGUUGGAGAUACACCACACUCCCUCCUAAUCAAAACAAACCGACAGUAGCUUAGCAAACUAGCUAAGUAUGGGGGGAGAAAAGCAAGUUUAACAAGAACUUUUUGUUUUUUUUUUUUUACUCUGCAGGAUUUCUCACCGCCACCUUCACCCAUGCCUGUUGACUUUAACAAGUAUGAUAUCCUAGAUGACAAGAUUUCAUGUGUUUUUGGAGUCAAGCCAUAUAUGUUUGAGCUGAGAUCAACCACCAACGGCACCGAUGGUGACAAAGAGCUUCAGGGUCAUCAUCGGGAGGCAUCUGACACAUCUGAAUGACCUUUCGCUCCAUUAUGGAACCUGAUGAAGAAGAAUGGAUGACUAGCACGUAGUAUUUGCAGAGUCGUGCUGUUCACCGACACUCGUGUUCUUUCCCCAUUUGGAUGAAUAAUCCAGUAGACCAUGUCUGCGUUCACCUCGGAGAACACAAACGGUGCAUCAUAUUUUAUCCCCACCUCACCUUCUCUCACUGCCUUCACCGGACAUGGCCCACAACAGUAUACACCUACAGCUACAGCGGAGAAAACCCAACACUGGCCAUAACGCACCCGCUGAGCUCCUCCCUCACUCCAGCGUCUCAGGAUGGGAACACUGCCAGUCCAGCGUGUAGGGGACACACCAUCGCUGUACUCACCAUCCCAGCGCCCAAA